CCUACGGGAGGCAGCAGUGGGGAAUAUUGCGCAAUGGGCGAAAGCCUGACGCAGCGACGCCGCGUGAGGGAUGAAGGCCUUCGGGUUGUAAACCUCUUUCAGCAGGGACGAAGCGAAAGUGACGGUACCUGCAGAAGAAGCACCGGCUAACUACGUGCCAGCAGCCGCGGCAAUACGUAGGGUGCAAGCGUUGUCCGGAUUUAUUGGGCGUAAAGAGCUCGUAGGCGGUCUGUCGCGUCGGAUGUGAAAACCCCAGGGCUCAACCCUGGGCCUGCAUUCGAUACGGGCAGACUUGAGUGUUGCAGGGGAGACUGGAAUUCCUGGUGUAGCGGUGAAAUGCGCAGAUAUCAGGAGGAACACCGGUGGCGAAGGCGGGUCUCUGGGCAACAACUGACGCUGAGGAGCGAAAGCGUGGGGAGCGAACAGGAUUAGAUACCCUGGUAGUCCACGCCGUAAACGGUGGGCGCUAGGUGUGGGGAACCGUUCCACGUUCUCUGUGCCGCAGCUAACGCAUUAAGCGCCCCGCCUGGGGAGUACGGCCGCAAGGCUAAAACUCAAAUGAAUUGACGG
Molecule: ribosomal RNA, 570 nt
Filed under: uncultured bacterium
Lineage: Bacteria
Description: bacterial SSU rRNA
Rfam family: Bacterial small subunit ribosomal RNA
Source: RNAcentral